Molecule: ribosomal RNA, 271 nt
Filed under: uncultured bacterium
Lineage: Bacteria
Description: partial 16S ribosomal RNA
Rfam family: Bacterial small subunit ribosomal RNA
Source: RNAcentral
UACAGAGGUCCCAAGCGUUGUUCGGAUUCAUUGGGCGUAAAGGGUGCGUAGGCGGCGCGGUAAGUCGGAUGUGAAAUCCCCAGGCUUAACCUGGGAACUGCAUCCGAUACUGGAUGGCUUGAAUCCGGGAGAGGGAUGCAGAAUUCCAGGUGUAGCGGUGAAAUGCGUAGAUAUCUGGAGGAAUACCGGUGGCGAAGGCGGCAUCCUGGACCGGCAUUGACGCUGAUGAGCGAAAGCUAGGGGAGCAAACGGGAUUAGAAACCCCUUGUAG